RNAcentral lists this ribosomal RNA (1041 nucleotides) under uncultured fungus. Its description in RNAcentral is "eukaryotic LSU rRNA". The stretch from base 633 to 1041 matches the Rfam family "Eukaryotic large subunit ribosomal RNA", at positions 1 to 412 of the family's 3401-position model. Lineage: Eukaryota; Fungi. The record is from RNAcentral.
GGAAGGAUCAUUAUCGUACAACCGAGAGGUGUGAGGGUUGUUGCUGACCUUUCGAGGUCGUGCACGCCCGAGCGCUCUCACCACAAUCCAUCUCACCCCUUUUGUGCAUCACCGCGUGGGUCCCCCCCUUUGCGGGGAGGGCUCGCGUUUUCAUCAAAAAAUUUGAUACAGUUUAGAAUGUCCAUUUUUUGCGGUCACACGCAAUCAAUACAACUUUCAACAACGGAUCUCUUGGCUCUCGCAUCGAUGAAGAACGCAGCGAAAUGCGAUACGUAAUGUGAAUUGCAGAAUUCAGUGAAUCAUCGAAUCUUUGAACGCACCUUGCGCCCCUUGGCAUUCCGAGGGGCACACCCGUUUGAGUGUCGUGAAAUUCUCAAAAUCCUUUUCUUUGAUCGGAAUAGGACUUUUGGACCUGGAGGUUCAAUGCUUGCUUUCGCCUUUGAAAGUGAGCUCCUCUCAAAUAUAUUAGUGGGGUUCGCUUUGCCGAUCCUUGACGUGAUAAGAUGUUUCUACGUUUUGGAUUUGGCACUGUUUUAUGGACGUCCGCUCCUAAUCGUCCCAUGGACAACGAUGGUGUUUCGGUCACCGCCAUCCACGUUGGCGAGAGGCUGAACCCACAAAAAAAAAAACCUUGACCUCAAAUCGGGUGAGACUACCCGCUGAACUUAAGCAUAUCAAUAAGCGGAGGAAAAGAAACUAACAAGGAUUCCCCUAGUAACUGCGAGUGAAGCGGGAAAAGCUCAAUUUAAAAUCUGGUGGUCUUUGGCCAUCCGAGUUGUAAUUUAGAGAAGCGUCUUCCGCGCCGGGCCGUGCACAAGUCUCCUGGAAUGGAGCGUCAUAGAGGGUGAGAAUCCCGUCUUUGGCACGGAUGUACCGGGGCUUUUGUGAUGCGCUCUCGAAGAGUCGAGUUGUUUGGGAUGCAGCUCAAAUUGGGUGGUGACUCCAUCUAAAGCUAAAUAUGCCGAGAGACGAUAGCGACAGUACGUGAGAAAAGAAUGAAAGCACUUUGGAAGAAGUGAAACAGUACGUGAAAUUGUUGAA